AGGUGAGAGAGCGAAAGUGGAGCUUGAUCUUUGGGCUUGUGGAAAGUGGACAGAUCUUAAGUGUGCCAUUUCAUAGGAGGAAACGAGAGUGACCCUGUUCCACCUGCUGCUUGGAUCAUGGUCUCACCCACACUUACAGGGAUGAUGAGAUUAUACAGGGCAUGUACUCCAGAGGGUGGAAAUGUUGGAGGCCAUCUUAGAAUCCUGCCUACCACAAUAUGCCUCUUUGUGAAAGAAAAUGAUGGGAAGGUCCGUUAUCUCUCUUCAGAGUUGCAACCAUUGAGACGACAAGCACAGCUACUCAUUGUGGUUCUGGAUCCCCUCCUCUUCCUGCUACCUCUGUGUGUAGUCUUUUUCCAGAACCUAGGAGAGCAACACCUCCUAUAACCACUCAGUUAUGAGAAACA
Long non-coding RNA from Symphalangus syndactylus (siamang), 407 nucleotides. RefSeq lists it as uncharacterized. The record is from RefSeq and is a predicted model, not a curated record. Lineage: Eukaryota; Metazoa; Chordata; Mammalia; Primates; Hylobatidae.